This 406-nucleotide ribosomal RNA is filed under the name uncultured bacterium. RNAcentral describes it as "partial 16S ribosomal RNA". It matches the Rfam family "Bacterial small subunit ribosomal RNA", at positions 30 to 526 of the family's 1533-position model. The record is from RNAcentral.
AUUGAACGCUGGCGGCAGGCCUAACACAUGCAAGUCGAACGAGUGGCGGACGGGUGAGUAAUGUCUGGGAAACUGCCUGAUGGAGGGGGCUAACUACUGGAAACGGUAGCUAAUACCGCAUACCAUCGGAUGUGCCCAGAUGGGAUGGGCUAGUAGGUGGGGUAAGGGCUCACCUAGGCGACGAUCCCUAGCUGGUUUGAGAGGAGGACCAGCCAGACUGGAACUGAGAACGAGUCCAGACUACUACUGGAGGCAGCAGUGGUGAAUAUUGCACGAUGGGCGCAAGCCUGAUGAAGCCAUGCCGCGUGUAUGGAGAAGGCCUUCGGGUUGUAAAGUACUUUCAGCGGGAAGGCGUUACCAGCAGAAGAAGCACCGGCUAACUCCGUGCCAGCAGCCGCGGUAAUUC